CUACCAAGGCAAGGACGGGUAGGGGACGUGAGAGCGUGGCCCCCACACUGGCACUGAGAUACGGGCCAACUCCUACGGGAGGCAGCAGUCGGGGAUAUUGCGCAAUGGACGAAAGUCAGACGCAGCGACGCCGCGUGGGCGAAAAGGCUUCGGGUGUAGCUUUUCUGGGGGAAGAGAUAAGCGGUACCCCAGAAUAAGUGUCGCUAACUACGUCACGCCGCGGGUAAAACGUUAGGACACAAAGCGUUAUCCGGAUUUACUGGGCGUAAAGAGCGUUGAGGCGGUUCCGUAAGUUGGACGUGAAAGCCCUCGGGCUCAACUGAGGGAUGUCGUUCAAUACUGCGGGACUUGAGGGCAGCAGAGGGAGGUGGAAUUCCUAGUGUAGCGGUGAAAUGCGUAGAUAUUAGGAGGAACACCAGUGGCGAAGGCGACCUCCUGGGCUGCUCCUGACGCUGAAGGCGAAGGCUAGGGUAGCAAACGGGAUUAGAAACCCCGGUAGUCCUAGCAGUAAACGAUGGAUGCUGGGUGUGGGAGGUAUAGAUUCCUCCCGUGUCGAAGCUAACGCGUUAAGCAUCCCGCCUGAGGAUUACGGCCGCAAGGCUAAAACUCAAACGAAUUGACGGGGACCCGCACAAGCAGCGGAGCGUGUGGUUUAAUUCGAUGCUACACGAAGAACCUUACCUGGGUUUGACAUGCAAGUAGUAGUGAAGCGAAAGCUGAUCGACCCUUCGGGGAGCUUGCACAGGUGCUGCAUGGCUGUCGUCAGCUCGUGCCGUGAGGUGUCGGGUUAAGUCCCGUAACGAGCGCAACCCUUGUCCUUAGUUACAAGUGUCUAAGGAGACUGCCCGGGACAACUGGGAGGAAGGUGGGGAUGACGUCAAGUCAGCAUGGCCUUUAUGUCCAGGGCUACACACACGCUACAAUGGCCGGUACAAUGGGUCGCCAAACCGUAAGGUGGAGCCAAUCCCGUAAAGCCGGUCCAAGUUCGGAUUGUGGGCUGCAACUCGCCCACAUGAAGCUGGAGUUGCUAGUAACCGUGGGUCAGCUAUACUACGGUGAAUACGUUCCCGGGUCUUGUACACACCGCCCGUCACGUCAUGGAAGCUGGAAACACCUAAAACCGGCGAGCUAACCUGAAAAGGAAGCAGCCGUCUA
Molecule: ribosomal RNA, 1155 nt
Filed under: uncultured organism
Description: bacterial SSU rRNA
Rfam family: Bacterial small subunit ribosomal RNA
Source: RNAcentral